RNAcentral lists this unclassified non-coding RNA (200 nucleotides) under Didymellaceae sp. RNAcentral's name for it is "partial contains small subunit ribosomal RNA, internal transcribed spacer 1, and 5.8S ribosomal RNA". The record is from RNAcentral. Lineage: Eukaryota; Fungi; Ascomycota; Dothideomycetes; Pleosporales; Didymellaceae. RNAcentral also lists the same sequence under 1 other name.
UUUCCGUAGGUGAACCUGCGGAAGGAUCAUUACCUAGAGUUGUAGGCUUUGCCUGCUAUCUCUUACCCAUGUCUUUUAAGUACCUUCGUUUCCUCGGCGGGUUCGCCCGCCGAUUGGACAAUUUAAACCAUUUGCAGUUGCAAUCAGCGUCUGAAAAAACUUAAUAGUUACAACUUUCAACAACGGAUCUCUUGGUUCUG